AACGCGAAGAACCUUACCCAGGCUCGAAAUGUAAUGGACGAUAUCAGAGAUGAUAUUUUCCGCAAGGACUAUUAUAUAGGUGCUGCAUGGCUGUCGUCAGCUCGUGCCGUGAGGUGUUGGGUUAAGUCCCGCAACGAGCGCAACCCUUAUCAUUAGUUGCCAACACGCGAGGUGGGGACUCUAAUGAGACUGCCUGGGUUAACCAGGAGGAAGGUGAGGAUGACGUCAAGUCCGCAUGGCCUUUAUGUCUGGGGCUACACACGUGCUACAAUGGUCGGUACAGAAGGCAGCAAGACCGUAAGGUGGAGCAAAUCCGUAAAGCCGAUCACAGUUCAGAUUGUAGUCUGCAACUCGACUACAUGAAGUUGGAAUUGCUAGUAAUGACGUGUCAGCAACAACGUCGUGAAUACGUUCCCGGGCCUUGUA
This 426-nucleotide ribosomal RNA is filed under the name uncultured Chlamydiae bacterium. RNAcentral describes it as "bacterial SSU rRNA". It matches the Rfam family "Bacterial small subunit ribosomal RNA", at positions 958 to 1385 of the family's 1533-position model. Lineage: Bacteria; Pseudomonadati; Chlamydiota; Chlamydiia. The record is from RNAcentral.